Molecule: ribosomal RNA, 441 nt
Filed under: uncultured bacterium
Lineage: Bacteria
Description: bacterial SSU rRNA
Rfam family: Bacterial small subunit ribosomal RNA
Source: RNAcentral
CUACGGGAGGCAGCAGUAGGGAAUAUUGCUUAAUGGGCGAAAGCCUGAAGCAGCAACGCCGCGUGCACGAUGAAGGCCUUCGGGUUGUAAAGUGCUUUUUGAGGGGAUGAGGAAGGACGGUACCCUCAGAAUAAGCCUCGGCUAACUACGUGCCAGCAGCCGCGGUAAAACGUAGGAGGCGAGCGUUAUUCGGAUUUACUGGGCGUAAAGCGUGUGUAGGUGGUGCGGUUAGUUGGAUGUGAAAGCUCCUGGCUUAACUGGGAGAGGUCGUUCAAUACUGCCGUGCUAGAGAGUGAGAGAGGGAAGUGGAAUUCCGGGUGUAGUGGUGAAAUGCGUAGAUAUCCGGAGGAACACCAGUGGCGAAAGCGACUUCCUGGCUCAUUUCUGACACUCAGACACGAAAGCUAGGGUAGCAAACGGGAUUAGAAACCCCUGUAGUCC